RNAcentral lists this non-coding RNA (958 nucleotides) under Dussumieria elopsoides (slender rainbow sardine). RNAcentral's name for it is "12S ribosomal RNA". It matches the Rfam family "Bacterial small subunit ribosomal RNA". The record is from RNAcentral. Lineage: Eukaryota; Metazoa; Chordata; Actinopteri; Clupeiformes; Dussumieriidae.
CAAAAGUUUGGUCCUGACUUUACCAUCAGCUUUAACCCAAUUUACACAUGCAAGUCUCCGCAGCCCUGUGAGAAUGCCCUUAAUCCCCCGUCCGGGAACAAGGAGCCGGUAUCAGGCACAAACACACCUUAGCCCAAGACGCCUUGCUUAGCCACACCCUCAAGGGAAUUCAGCAGUGACAAAUAUUAAGCCAUAAGUGAAAACUUGACUUAGUUAGGUUUAAAAGGGCCGGUAAAACUCGUGCCAGCCACCGCGGUUAUACGAGAGGCCCUAGUUGAUGAAUAGCGGCGUAAAGCGUGGUUAAGGAGCACAUACAAUAAAGCAAAAAACCCGCCUAGCCGUUAUACGCAAAAGAGGAUAAGAGUCACUAUCACGAAAGUAGCUUUAACCCCGCCCACCUGAACCCACGACAGCUAGGGCACAAACUGGGAUUAGAUACCCCACUAUGCCUUGCCGUAAACUUAGAUAUUAACAUACAAUAAAUAUCCGCCUGGGAACUACGAGCAUUAGCUUAAAACCCAAAGGACUUGGCGGUGCUUCAGAACCCCCUAGAGGAGCCUGUUCUAGAACCGAUAAUCCCCGUUCAACCUCACCACUUCUUGCCUUCUACCGCCUAUAUACCACCGUCGCCAGCUCACCCUAUGAAGGCAUAAAAGUUAGCAAAAUGAGUAAACCUCAAAACGUCAGGUCGAGGUGUAGCAAACGAAGUGGAAAGAAAUGGGCUACAUUAUCUGAAACAGAUAACCACGGAAGACUGUUUGAAACAAACAAUCUGAAGGCGGAUUUAGCAGUAAAGGGGGAACAGAGUGCCCCCUUGAAGCCGGCUCUGAAGUGCGUACACACCGCCCGUCACUCUCCCCGAGGCCCCAUCAGACCCGUAAUUAACAAUACUAAGUAGCAAAAAGGGGAGGCAAGUCGUAACAUGGUAAGUGUACCGGAAGGUGCACUUGGAACAACC